ACAGACGAGGAGCUUGCUCCUCUGACGUUAGCGGCGGACGGGUGAGUAACACGUGGAUAACCUACCUAUAAGACUGGGAUAACUUCGGGAAACCGGAGCUAAUACCGGAUAAUAUAUUGAACCGCAUGGUUCAAUAGUGAAAGACGGUUUUGCUGUCACUUAUAGAUGGAUCCGCGCCGCAUUAGCUAGUUGGUAAGGUAACGGCUUACCAAGGCAACGAUGCGUAGCCGACCUGAGAGGGUGAUCGGCCACACUGGAACUGAGACACGGUCCAGACUCCUACGGGAGGCAGCAGUAGGGAAUCUUCCGCAAUGGGCGAAAGCCUGACGGAGCAACGCCGCGUGAGUGAUGAAGGUCUUCGGAUCGUAAAACUCUGUUAUUAGGGAAGAACAAAUGUGUAAGUAACUAUGCACGUCUUGACGGUACCUAAUCAGAAAGCCACGGCUAACUACGUGCCAGCAGCCGCGGUAAUACGUAGGUGGCAAGCGUUAUCCGGAAUUAUUGGGCGUAAAGCGCGCGUAGGCGGUUUUUUAAGUCUGAUGUGAAAGCCCACGGCUCAACCGUGGAGGGUCAUUGGAAACUGGAAAACUUGAGUGCAGAAGAGGAAAGUGGAAUUCCAUGUGUAGCGGUGAAAUGCGCAGAGAUAUGGAGGAACACCA
Molecule: ribosomal RNA, 659 nt
Filed under: uncultured Staphylococcus sp.
Lineage: Bacteria; Bacillati; Bacillota; Bacilli; Caryophanales; Staphylococcaceae
Description: bacterial SSU rRNA
Rfam family: Bacterial small subunit ribosomal RNA
Source: RNAcentral